RNAcentral lists this ribosomal RNA (438 nucleotides) under Hemitragus jemlahicus (Himalayan tahr). Its description in RNAcentral is "partial 12S ribosomal RNA". It matches the Rfam family "Bacterial small subunit ribosomal RNA", at positions 769 to 1404 of the family's 1533-position model. Lineage: Eukaryota; Metazoa; Chordata; Mammalia; Artiodactyla; Bovidae. The record is from RNAcentral.
AAACUGGGAUUAGAUACCCCACUAUGCUUAGCCCUAAACACAAAUAAUUAUAAAAACAAAAUUAUUCGCCAGAGUACUACGGCAACAGCCCGAAACUCAAAGGACUUGGCGGUGCUUUAUACCCUUCUAGAGGAGCCUGUUCUAUAAUCGAUAAACCCCGAUAAACCUCACCAAUCCUUGCUAAUACAGUCUAUAUACCGCCAUCUUCAGCAAACCCUAAAAAGGAACAAAAGUAAGCUCAAUCACAACACAUAAAGACGUUAGGUCAAGGUGUAACCCAUGGAAUGGGAAGAAAUGGGCUACAUUUUCUACUUCAAGAAAAUUUAAUACGAAAGCCAUUAUGAAAUUAAUAGCCAAAGGAGGAUUUAGCAGUAAACUAAGAAUAGAGUGCUUAGUUGAAUCAGGCCAUGAAGCACGCACACACCGCCCGUCACCCUC